This is a long non-coding RNA of Ictidomys tridecemlineatus (thirteen-lined ground squirrel), 2552 nucleotides long. The record is from Ensembl. NCBI's taxonomy places the organism in Eukaryota, Metazoa, Chordata, Mammalia, Rodentia, Sciuridae.
GCGGGGCUUCGGUGGCACUAUUGUCAUGGAGACGAGAAGCCGACGGCAGCGUGCAGCCGGGACAGGAUUCGGGGCGGAGGGGGUUGCGAGCCCGCCGACACUGGAGCGAGGCGCAGCGGCCAGCACAGCCCGAACCCGGGAAGCGCGGAGCAGGCCAGUGGCGGCCUCUCGGCUCACCCUCCAGGGCUCGGGGCGGUCGUGGUGGCGGCAGGGAGCAGCCGGAGCGUCCCCGCCCCGCUGCCUGGGCUCCCGCCUCCCGCGGCCGCGCGGCUCCUCGGCGCCCGCCCCCGGCUCCGCCCGCCGCCACCGCUGCAGCCCUCAGCGCUAACGGUCGGUGGCAGCCCGCGUGCGCCGCCCGCCGGGGACUCGCGCCUGCCACGAGGGAGCGUCCGCGUCCCGCGAGCCCGCUCCGCGGAGCAGAGGAGUCCACAGUUCCUGAUGGAUCUAGUGUCCUGGCUGUAGGAAGAGGAGAGUCUGCAGACAGGAAGUUCACCACCCACUCACGGAGCAGCCGUGUCCUUAACGGAUCCGGUGGAAUCUGCAAGGUGUGGAGUAUCAGCUCAUCAUCGGUCACACAGAUGGGUAAACCAAGUCCCCUUUCCUGCAUCCGCCUCCCACACGAGCGCAGUGUGUAGUGAUUAAUUUCACUUUCUGUGUCUCAAUCCUUGAGCCAGAAGGCUUCUGCGGAGGCUCCUGACUCAGGGAAACCUGUUUCCUGGAUCAUCUCGGUUAGACACACAGCUGCCGCCAAGACGCUCCCUUUGCAAGCACGGGUUUUAAAUUAUGGCCAGUCCAGAGGCCGAGCUGGAAGAACACCUGUCAGGGACGGUUUUUCUACCAGGAGAUGGUCUCUUUCAUCGCAUUUCACUGUAGUUCAGAGAAAGGUUCAUUUGAAAAUGUGGCACCUGCUUCUAGGAUUCAAGCUCCUCUGCUGAAACACCAGUUUGGAAUUUAUUUCUGACGUUAUUCUAUGGUGCAACGAGAAACUGCGACAAAGUGUCUAAAAGGGAAGGAAGGACUUUCCCAGACUUGAUUUGCAACUUUCCCUGGUGAAAAAAAAAAAAAUCUAAAAAAAUGUAUUUUUCAACUUUUCUGUGUGAAUAUAAUUAAUGAAAGGAAUUCUUUGGAGCAAACUUGAACAACAUUGGAGGGAGAUGGUGAAAACAUUUCAUGAACGCUGGGUGAUUUUCCUGUGUUGAGAUUGGUUACAUUUAUCUGUGAACGAUGCCAAGUAUCACUGAUACUGACUGGUGCUUGGAGAGACUUUGAACUUGGCUCUCAUGGGGAGCACCCUGAAGUCCGUUCAUCGCAGGUACUUUCUCACGUCCGCAGACCCCAUUGUGUAACGAUCAGAAGACAAACUUCAUUUUGCAAACUGUGAUUUAAUGGUAGAACAGUGUGCAGACCCGAAUAUCAGUUAAUUUUCAAAACAUUUUAUUCUACACCAAUUAGCUCAGGUCCUGGAAGGCAGAAUGACAAGAGGUUACUCAUUCGCUAUGUAUUUAAUUAAUUGAAAAAUGCUCAAAUUGCUUUUACAGUUGUUAUUAAAAAGUAGAAUCAGUGUUGCCAGUGCUCAACCAUAAUUGGAACCCCAGGGAAUUAAAUAUUUAGCAUUAGUAAUGUAACAGCACUUAGGACACAAAUUUCUAUUUUCGUAAUGAAAGCUAUACACUGCGAGUGCAAGCAGCAGAAAGGACAGAUGUGACAAGCCGAGCGGCCUGGGAUAUUUCAAUAAGACACCUCAUUGGACAGCAAGUCUUACCACAUUACCCGUUUGUAAGAGACCUGCAAGUUUAAUUCCCAACAGAAACCCGUUACCCAAGUAUUUAGAUUUCUAAUUGCAUCCGGGACGAACAGCCGGGCAAAUGUCUUGCUGUAAGGGGCUGGAAAUGUAGGCCGCUUUCUGAAUAAUCCUAUAUAAGUUCAUGCCUUUGUCAAUUUAAAAAUAGCGGGACUGCCCGAGAAUAAAGAUCUUGUUUGUUUUAAGUUUAAUUACAUUUUAGGCAUACAUGUUUUCAGUGCUACAGUGAGAAAACUUGGAUGUGGAGCUCUAAUGAGCUGUAGUGGUAGACGGCUGGAGACCCUGAGGGAUUCACUCCGUAAAUUAACUGGAUAAAAGUACUUGGUUAGGAUAUGGUUGAUGGCUGAGCUGUUCUUAAAACCCAGUUAUAGAGCUGUCUCUCACCGCUGUUUUCAUUCUAAACAGGCCCUGUAGAGACUUAAACAGCCGCCUGUUACAACUGUUCAACUUGUCAAAAUGUGUUAUAUGACUUCACUAAUAAAUAGUAUUAAAGGGUAUUUGACUUCGUUUCUGGUUUUCAGAGGGGAUCAGGUUGAUAAACACAACUGGCUUAGGUUGGCCUUCUUUUAAUUUGUUUAUGUCAUCUAAGUAACAUGGGAGGCCCACGCUUGGAAUUUGCAAACGUUACUUUCCUGGAGACGUAAAACUUACGAUAGAAUAUGUACCAUGGAAACAAUGAGUGGAGACUAUUUAUUACAGAAUGUUUGUUCUUGAAAGAUGGAUGACUUUGGCGUUCUCAGCUUGCGUUCCA